CCUACGGGAGGCAGCAGUCGAGAAUCAUUCACAAUGGGGGAAACCCUGAUGGUGCGACGCCGCGUGGGGGAAUGAAGGUCUUCGGAUUGUAAACCCCUGUCAUGUGGGAGCAAAUUAAAAAGAUAGUACCACAAGAGGAAGAGACGGCUAACUCUGUUCCAGCAGCCGCGUUAAUACAGAGGUCUCAAGCGUUGUUAGGAAUCCCUGGUCUUAAAGGGUGCGUAGGCUGUUUCGUAAGUCGUGUGUGAAAGGGCGGGGCUCAACCCGCGGACGGCACCUGAUACGGGGAGACUAGAGUAAGGGAGGGGGAACCGGAAUUCUCGGUGUAGCAGUGAAAUGCGUAGAUAUCGAGAGGAACACUCGUGGCGAAGGCGGGUUCCUGGACAUUAACUGACGCUGAGGCACGAAGGCCAGGGGAGCGAAAGGGAUUAGAUACCCUGGUAGUC
Molecule: ribosomal RNA, 446 nt
Filed under: uncultured bacterium
Lineage: Bacteria
Description: partial 16S ribosomal RNA
Rfam family: Bacterial small subunit ribosomal RNA
Source: RNAcentral